This 96-nucleotide signal recognition particle RNA is filed under the name Tenderia sp. (SeqCode). Its description in RNAcentral is "signal recognition particle sRNA small type". It matches the Rfam family "Bacterial small signal recognition particle RNA". From Rfam's summary of the family: The signal recognition particle (SRP) is a universally conserved ribonucleoprotein involved in the co-translational targeting of proteins to membranes. Archaeal SRP consists of a 7S RNA and homologues of the eukaryotic SRP19 and SRP54 proteins. The record is from RNAcentral. Lineage: Bacteria; Pseudomonadati; Pseudomonadota; Gammaproteobacteria; Tenderiales (SeqCode); Tenderiaceae (SeqCode).
CGUCGGUCACCCCGCAACGAAACACUGCGAACCCCGCCAGGUCCGGAAGGAAGCAACGGCAGUAGUGGCCUCGUGUGCGGGGAGCGGCGGGCGUGG